GAUGAACGCUGGCGGCGUGCCUAAUACAUGCAAGUCGAGCGAACAGAUGAGGAGCUUGCUCCUCUGACGUUAGCGGCGGACGGGUGAGUAACACGUGGAUAACCUACCUAUAAGACUGGGAUAACUUCGGGAAACCGUAGCUAAUACCGGAUAAUAUAUUGAACCGCAUGGUUCAAUAGUGAAAGACGGUUUUGCUGUCACUUAUAGAUGGAUCCGCGCCGCAUUAGCUAGUUGGUAAGGUAACGGCUUACCAAGGCAACGAUGCGUAGCCGACCUGAGAGGGUGAUCGGCCACACUGGAACUGAGACACGGUCCAGACUCCUACGGGAGGCAGCAGUAGGGAAUCUUCCGCAAUGGGCGAAAGCUUGACGGAGCAACGCCGCGUGAGUGAUGAAGGUCUUCGGAUCGUAAAACUCUGUUAUUAGGGAAGAACAAAUGUGUAAGUAACUAUGCACGUCUUGACGGUACCUAAUCAGAAAGCCACGGCUAACUACGUG
This 497-nucleotide ribosomal RNA is filed under the name uncultured bacterium. RNAcentral describes it as "partial 16S ribosomal RNA". It matches the Rfam family "Bacterial small subunit ribosomal RNA", at positions 28 to 507 of the family's 1533-position model. The record is from RNAcentral.